RNAcentral lists this unclassified non-coding RNA (420 nucleotides) under Hevea brasiliensis (rubber tree). Lineage: Eukaryota; Viridiplantae; Streptophyta; Magnoliopsida; Malpighiales; Euphorbiaceae. The record is from RNAcentral.
AAAAAAUAUUUUAUUUGAUGAAAUAAGUUUAGAAGCCAAGUUCACUUGAAUUAAACUGCUACAAACAUCUCUCACCUAAGCCCAAGCCCAAGGAAAAAGUAUCCAAAUCUUAACAGAUAUGAUAGGAGCACUAGACUAACGAGGUAAGACCUGAUCUCCCUCUUUAGCAGCAGUCUGCGAGCAUUCUUCUUUCACCGAUGGCACUCCACUGGCUUCUAAAGGGGAAAGCUUUGCAGAAACUCAAACCAUAGAGGGAAGACCAAUCAUCAACAUCAGAAGGAGCAUAAUCGCCCCAAAACAAACCAAAAUAUUUGCUGCUUUCAACGCUUACAAACUCAAAUGGACCAGAGAUUUGCAGCAAACGCUGGUUUAGAACUGAGGCUUGGACUAAUGCCGGACGAAUCAGGAAAAGGUUUGGCA